This 1647-nucleotide long non-coding RNA is filed under the name Capra hircus (goat). RNAcentral describes it as "lncRNA (ENSCHIG00010009647.1)". Lineage: Eukaryota; Metazoa; Chordata; Mammalia; Artiodactyla; Bovidae. The record is from RNAcentral.
AAGCCAGCGCGAGUGGGACACGGCGCCGGGGGGCGGCAGAGGGGUGAGGGCCGCGGCUAUGUGACCGGCGCAUGCGCAGAUAGGGGUACCCGCCCGUUCACCUACCCUUGGAACCGCGACGCCCCGUUCCCCGGCCGCGGCCGCUUCUCCAGGACCCGCGGCGACUGCAAGAGGGCGAAAACUGAGGCCCCAAGUGACUCCGCGACCGGCGAGCCUCUUCCUGUGGCGGCCACUGGCGGGAGGCUGAGGCGACGACUGUGGCUCGGGGCCAGCCCGGUAGGCGACCCCCGGAUGCCCCCGGCCGUGGCGGCGGCGGAGACGCGGAAGACGGGGCGGGAGCAGCCACGGAGGCAGCGACUGAGGCGCAGAGCCUCCCUAACAGCGAGCGGAGGAGAGCGGAGGGCGGAGGGCGCAGGGCGGGCUGGGGCCGGGCCGGACGUGACGUGCGUGGGAGGGGGCGGGGCGGGCCCGCGGGCUGGGGCGGGGCGAGUGCGCAGUGAGAGCUGGGGACCCCUCACAGACGCUGAGAGCUGAUGUGAAGUCUGUGCACUUAGAGUCCGGGUUGGGGGUGAAGGAGGGUCCGUCACUCCAAAUUUAGGCCCCCGAGUUAGAGUUGAGAAGCAGGGCGCGGACCCGAGGGAGGUGUCUGGGGGUCCUCAGUCUGGAGAGGUUGGAAAAAAAGAGGAAAGUGGGGAGGAGACGUAGGAGUCAUGAAGGGCAAAUCCCGCAGCCCGAGGUCACUCCUGGUCUCUGCAGAGGGAACAUGCCACUUUGCAGGAAACCAGAAAAACCCUGGUACCCUUAUCUAGGUGAGGAGCGCGGAGACUUGAACAGAAAACCUCCGGGCAGAUUGAAGAGGUGACUCACGUUCUCUUUCUCAGCGAUGGAGAUUAAACUGGGGACUCUGUCCGCCCGCACCCUUUCUCUUCACCUAAGGACACGACCUAGAGUCCAGAGAUAAUAUAGAUGCCUUUGGUGCCGAAAGCAUCCGGGAAUAUGAAAGUCGAGAGACCAUAUGCUUACAUAGAGUUUCCUAUACUGAUCCAGAAUUUGAGAGGCAAAGCUGAAAGUCAGAAAGAAUGAGGAACUCUCUGAGCCUAGGGAAUCUGGACUUGCUUGCAAAGCCAGACCGACCGUGCAGUUCCUUCCUUCAUACCGCCUUCAUAAAGGUAUGAAUAUUCAGCCAGUCUCUCUCUCUCUUUUAUAUAUAUAUUUUUUUGCUUUAGUCUGUUAAGGGCUUUGAGUAAAACGCAGUUUUCUGCCUUUAGAUUCCUUGAUAGCAGGUAGGUAGAUCCACGCCUGCACAAAGAACUCUGGGUGUCAGUAAAAAUGUUUAGUCGCUAAGUCGUGUCCAACUCUGUGACCCCAUGCACUGUAGCCCACCAGGCUCCUCUGUCCAUGGUAUUUCCCAGGCAAGAAUNNNNNNGUGGGUUGCCAUUUCUUUCUCCAGGGGAUCUUCCUGAUCCAGGGAUCAAAGCUGCAUCUCCUGCAUUGGCAGGUUGAUUCUUUACCACUAAGCCAUCUGGGAGGCCCCUGUGAAAAUAUAAACCACUACAAUUCAGUUUUACCCUACCUGCCUGGGCUGGAAGUCAGAAACCCAGAAAAUAUAAGAGAAGAAACCUCUUAGAACUUGGAACAAGAUUGACC